RNAcentral lists this long non-coding RNA (930 nucleotides) under Nicotiana tabacum (common tobacco). RNAcentral describes it as "long non-coding RNA (NTAB_LNC008009)". The record is from RNAcentral. Lineage: Eukaryota; Viridiplantae; Streptophyta; Magnoliopsida; Solanales; Solanaceae.
GUUCUUUUGACAUUAGAUGGAAGCAACCCAGUCAAGUGAUUCAAGAUGGACCAAGUAUCGCCUAUUCUCCUGCCCUUUUUUUUGUCAAUCUUAUCAAUAAAAGAGUGAGGACUAAAAUAUAAUCUUGUACUCGAGUUCUGUUGUCAUGUAACUCGUUAUAUGGUGUGAUCUGUCACAUGCUACACUUUCUGCAAUGAAUGGCAGAGUUCGGGAGUUUGAAUCCCUUAAUGUGUAAUCAGUAGCAUCUAUGUGCAACUUUGAUGGUUUUUGUCACAUCCAAGUAGUGAACACAUUCAUCAUUGGGACCUUGAUUUGUAUUUGUUUACACUGGUGGAUGGCUGUUCUGGAAGAUCCCAUUUCCGAAAAAACCAUUUCCAGACAUAAACACUUGGAAUGUCAUUUNNNNNNNNNNNNNNNNNNNNNNNNNAAUCCAAGUCCCAAAAAAGGGCCAGAGUUGGGGGGGGUAUUUUUCCGUGAUCCGACCGCCCUGAUUUAUAUAAGGUUCUUUUGACAUUAGAUGGAAGCAACCCAGUCAAGUGAUUCAAGAUGGACCAAGUAUCGCCUAUUCUCCUGCCCUUUUUUUUUGUCAAUCUUAUCAAUAAAAGAGUGAGGACUAAAAUAUAAUCUUGUACUCGAGUUCUGUUGUCAUGUAACUCGUUAUAUGGUGUGAUCUGUCACAUGCUACACUUUCUGCAAUGAAUGGCAGAGUUCGGGAGUUUGAAUCCCUUAAUGUGUAAUCAGUAGCAUCUAUGUGCAACUUUGAUGGUUUUUGUCACAUCCAAGUAGUGAACACAUUCAUCAUUGGGACCUUGAUUUGUAUUUGUUUACACUGGUGGAUGGCUGUUCUGGAAGAUCCCAUUUCCGAAAACCAUUUCCAGACAUAAACACUUGGAAUGUCAAUUUCUCAAUAUAUCUCUGAAAGCAUUGGAG